RNAcentral lists this ribosomal RNA (323 nucleotides) under uncultured Pseudomonadota bacterium. Its description in RNAcentral is "bacterial SSU rRNA". It matches the Rfam family "Bacterial small subunit ribosomal RNA", at positions 30 to 351 of the family's 1533-position model. Lineage: Bacteria; Pseudomonadati; Pseudomonadota. The record is from RNAcentral.
AUUGAACGCUGGCGGAAUGCUUUACACAUGCAAGUCGAACGGCAGCACGGGGGCAACCCUGGUGGCGAGUGGCGAACGGGUGAGUAACACAUCGGAACGCGUCCUGUAAUGGGGGAUAACCUGGCGAAAGCCAGGCUAAUACCGCAUACGUCCUGAGGGAGAAAGCGGGGGAUUGGAAACGACCUCGCGUUAUAGGAGUGGCCGAUGUCGGAUUAGCUAGUUGGUGAGGUAACGGCUCACCAAGGCGACGAUCAGUAACCGGCCUGAGAGGGCGAACGGUCACACUGGAACUGAGACACGGUCCAGACUCCUACGGGUGGCUG